RNAcentral lists this transfer RNA (73 nucleotides) under Trichonephila clavata. It matches the Rfam family "tRNA". Rfam says of the family: Transfer RNA (tRNA) molecules are approximately 80 nucleotides in length. Their secondary structure includes four short double-helical elements and three loops (D, anti-codon, and T loops). Lineage: Eukaryota; Metazoa; Arthropoda; Arachnida; Araneae; Nephilidae. The record is from Rfam by way of RNAcentral.
GUUCCAGUAGCGCAAUGGAUUGCGCGUUGGACUGCUAAUCUAAAUAUCGUGGUUUCUAAUUCCCCCUGGGAUG